RNAcentral lists this ribosomal RNA (1032 nucleotides) under Triticum aestivum (bread wheat). RNAcentral's name for it is "partial small subunit ribosomal RNA". The record is from RNAcentral. Lineage: Eukaryota; Viridiplantae; Streptophyta; Magnoliopsida; Poales; Poaceae.
AUGGCAUCAUCUCCUCUCCUGCUCCUGUUCCUCCUAGUCCUAGCCUUAGCAUGUACAUGCAGGGCAUCAUCCGGCCAUGCGGUCGAGGUCGACCCUACCUGCCCUCCAGCCAAGGCGUCAGCGGUGGCAGUGCAGGCCUCGGACUACGGCGGGCCUCAUUGCCAGCCACCGGCUCCGCACGUUCCGGUCCCGGUGUUCCUGUACGACGUCAACCCGAUGCAGUUCACGCUGAACCUUGAGUACACCGAGGCCGAGUUCUUCCUCCACGCGGCGUUCGGCAAAGGGCUUGACUAGAUCUCGCCCAACCUGACAUUGNNNNNNNNNNNNNNNNUGGGCGCCAUGAAAGCCAACCUCGACGAGGCGACAUGGCGCAUCGCCGCGGAGUUUGGUCUUUAAGAGGUCGGACACCUGAGGGCCAUCCAGAACACAGUGGGUGGGUUCCUUAGGCCAAAGAUCGACCUGAGUGCCAACAACUUUGCAAGGGUCAUGGACCAAGCAUUUGGUUACCAUUUGAACCCUCCUUUCGACCCCUACAUCCACAGCCUCAACUUCCUGCUGGCGUCCUACGUCAUCCACUACCUGGGCAUCAACGGCUACACCGGCACCAACCCCAUCGACGGCUACCAGACUAAACACUUUCUUGCAGGGUUGCUAGGCGUGGAGGUGGGACAGGACGCCGUCUUCCACGCGCUGCUCUUCGAACGCAAGCACGAGACGGUGCCACCCUACAAGGGGAUCACCGUGGCAGAGUUCACCGAUCGCGUCUCCACCACGAGAAACCAGCUGGUGAAGGUGAAGGACGAGGGGCUCACCGUGACGCCCGAGAUGCAAAAUAAAAAAGUGAAGCACAACUUGCUCUCCGCCGACAGGGACUCCCUCUCCAGCCGCCGGACGCCGGCCGAGUUGCUCAGGAUCACCGGCAACGAGCAUAUCCCUGGUGGCUUCUAGCCGGAAGGAGCAAACGGUAAGAUAGCACGAGAGUUCCUUCGCAAGCCGUUUACAGCUUGUGAUAACAAUGUGACAGCAAAUUAA